Molecule: long non-coding RNA, 165 nt
Organism: Xiphophorus couchianus (Monterrey platyfish)
Lineage: Eukaryota; Metazoa; Chordata; Actinopteri; Cyprinodontiformes; Poeciliidae
Exons: 2
Source: RefSeq, a predicted model, not a curated record
CACGCCACCAACAAGCAGCCUCGACUCCAGCAGCCCCCACCGCUUCUUCCUCCCUGGCAGAUUAACUGCAUUUCAUCAAGAUGCAGUCGAUCCUAUACAGUGGACUCCGGGACAAGAUUCACAUUUCAUUCAAUUCUCUGGACAAAAUAAACUGUAUUGAACUGA